UACGUAGGGCGCAAGCGUUGUCCGGAAUUAUUGGGCGUAAAGAGCUCGUAGGCGGCCUGUUACGUCUGCUGUGAAAUCCCGGGGCUUAACCCCGGGCGUGCAGUGGAUACGGGCAGGCUGGAGGCAGGCAGGGGAGAACGGAAUUCCACGUGUAGCGGUGAAAUGCGUAGAGAUGUGGAGGAACACCAGUGGCGAAGGCGACUCUUUGGUCUGUAACUGACGCUGAGGCGCGAAAGCGUGGGGAGCAAACAGG
RNAcentral lists this ribosomal RNA (253 nucleotides) under uncultured bacterium. RNAcentral's name for it is "partial 16S ribosomal RNA". It matches the Rfam family "Bacterial small subunit ribosomal RNA", at positions 524 to 776 of the family's 1533-position model. The record is from RNAcentral.